Molecule: unclassified non-coding RNA, 6435 nt
Filed under: Thrips palmi
Lineage: Eukaryota; Metazoa; Arthropoda; Insecta; Thysanoptera; Thripidae
Description: uncharacterized LOC117644886, transcript variant X1
Source: RNAcentral
AACAAAAGAGUAGUGUUCAGCUGGUCUGGUUGGUUAGGUAAAUGUAGGGAAAUUACCAUCUGUGAUAAUUGUACUUCGUUUUCAAAGUCAUUGCAAGUUACCUUGUGUAUGUCAUAGAUUUGCAAGAUAUGUGACAAUGUCCGUCCCCAAUCCUCCUGUGAUCCAAGAUGAUGAUGGUCCAGAAGAAGGUGAAAUAGAAGACGACGAUGAUGACAUAAUUUUUCUGGACGGCAGCAGUCCUCAUCGGAGUAGCACAACAAGCACAAGCCUUGAUGUUUACCCCCUGCCUACAAGGAAAGACAGUUAUGAACGGGACAUUCGCCACUUUGAGCUUCGCAGGGCUCGGACUGCUCGUAGAAGAACUUCUGGUACCAACAAGAGUACCCACACCAUUGGUUCUUCUACACGAGUUAAAACAAAAAUUUCUAGGACAGGUUUAACAGAAGGGAAGGAAAACCGUCAUGUUCGCCAUACAUCUCCUGCAAGAGUGCAUCGCCGUCGGAAAGAAUCCAGUGAAAAUGCUCUAGUAGAUUUCAAGGAUGUCUCACCUUUACGCAGAGAUUCUAGUUGUAGUAGUAUUGAUAGUGAUGAAAGAACAACCGGUAGAGCACCUUACCAUAGGUCUUCACGGAAGACGUCCUCCAAGACUGCAAGAUUCAAAAGAAAAUCAAGCUCCAGUCCAGAGUCCACAUACAUUCCAUCAAAGCGCAGAUCUCAUCAUUCUGAAAAAUGUCCUUUGAUGAAAGUUUUGCAUUCUGUUGCAAAAGAAACAAGGCUAAUAGCUAUGGAAAAUUCUGAGAGUCAUUCAGAGUCAAGUAGCUUGAGACAAAGACUGUUGAAUAUGGGUGCCAUGCCAUCUGUACAUGAAGAAACCCAUUCAAAGGACCAAAAUCAAAGCAAUAUUAGUUUUGCUCAGGAUGAAAACAUAGCCUUGGACAAUUCAUCAAAGACUGAGGAAUCGAGCAAGCAAGUACAAAAUGGAAGUACCCAAACCGAGGAACCUCCUGCGUAUCUCCUUGAUAAGCCUGCUCCUGAAAUUGUAGUCCUGACAGAUAAUGAAGAAGUAGAUAGCAACCAACAAAAUAUGUCUAAGGAAAAGAACCAUACUAGUUCUAAUACUUCUUUACCUAAGAGAGCACCCACCUCUGACACCUCACUUUAUGUACCUUCAAAUACUGAAAAAACUGAUAUUGUGGUUAAUUCUGAGAAUGAUGAAGAUGAUGAUAUAAGCCAUCUUCGCCUCCUGGCCCUGCAGUCAAAGAAGCAUGAACCUUCUCCGCCAGAGGAUGCUGAUGUGCUGCAAUUAAGAUUGGCUGCCCUAAAAACAGCCUUUAUAAAAAAGUUAAAGACUCGCAAAAAAAUUAGUAUCAAGAUCAACAGCAGGAUCAGUAAGGAAGAUCCACUGUCACCUUUAGAUGAAAUUCCCAUACCAUUUUCAGUUCCUUCUCCCGACGAAGUAAUGACUCCGGUGGACAUGGAACUUGCUGAGACUGAUGACGAGGAUGCCUUUGUUGAUCCAAUCAUCCACUACUCACCAUCUGAUCCUGUUCCUGACUGCUACUCCCCAUCUGACCCCAUACCUAACCACUUCUCCUCCCCUAAUCAUUAUCCUGACUGUUACUCCCCAUCUGACCCCAUACCUGAUCACAUUUCCUCCCCCAUUCCUUACCCUGAGUGCUACUCCCCUUCUGAUCCUACAGGAUCUCCUAUUCUGGAGUCAUCCCUUCAGGACCUGCUUCCUCCUCCACCUCCACCUGAUUUAGACUUGCUUUAUGCUGACCAACCAUUAGAUACUGGUUUCCAAAACAAUUUGUAUCAUACUGGAAGUUUCAUGAACACAGGGUAUGAACAAUCUCAAGAUCUUCUAGCCCUCCCUCCAUUACCUCCAUACUUUCAGCAACUUCUAUCAGAACCUCCUGAACAGUCUGUGGGCACUUUCAGCACUGAGCAAGAAAAACUUACAAGUAUUGUUAAUGUUGACUGUUGCACUUUGGGUGAUGCUUCCAAUGAAAUUAGUUCAAAUCUCAUAGAGGUCCCAGUCGUGAUAGAUAUUGAGCCUGAAUGUGAUGAAUUGGUUCCUGCAGCUACACAGUCUUCAUACAGUGAGGAAGAUAGAGUAGAAAACAAAGCUGGAGCUGGAGAUGAUCCUGUACCUUUGACAGUAUGUCCAGCAGAUUCAAAUCCAUCGUGCAGUCCAAAUGUUUCUGAAACAACUAGGAAAGACGAAGAAGAAAUAGCUAAACCUAAUCAAGUAUCUUUAGAGGAAGAAGAAAAAAUGCUCAGACAACGACUGCUUCUCAAUAUGGCGAGAAAAAAAGAGAAUUUACCUAAACAGAAGAAACUAGAACCAGAAACAGUGAAUAAAAGAAGUCAAGCCUUGCCAAAGAGUGCUCCUAUUGAGAAAGUACAAGCAAAAGUAAAAUUACCCAAAAAUAUUUUCACGAAGACAAGUACUCCAAAACCCAUGGCUGUUGCCACUUCAGAGUCGCCAACCUUGCGAAGAUCCACAACUCCUGUCGUAGCUGUGACAACUGCGGCUACUGUUAAAAGAGUAAUUGUGAACCUGGGUGAGGAUUCAGAUAGCUGUGAAGACUAUUCAGAAGCAGAAGCUCUUGGGCAAAAGUGUAUUGAAAAUAAAGAAAAAUGGCUAUUACAUUUGAAGGAGCUAGAAGUUAACCCACCAAAAAUGAUAAGUCCUGGAAACAAAUCAAAGCCUGUCAUCAGAGGAAAAGCAACCUCAUCGGCAACUAUUAAAAGCAAACUACCCAUUCAAGAUGAAAAUGGAAGGAAACCUUUUGCUGAAAAUUUGGCAGACUUGGAAAGCAGUGUAGAGCGAUUCUUAAAAGGUGUUCGCAGUUCGCAAGAAGCCAUAUCCAAGUCUAAGUCUUCGUUGGGCUUGAAAUCAACUCCAUCAAAUGGCACUCCUGUGGCAGUGAAACACCUUCCAGCUUCACAACAAGAAGAAUAUCGUCGUUUGAAGCAACAAAUUGCCACACUUGAAAAGCAGCGACAAAUAUCAAUUGAACAGAAACGGGUUCCACCAAGUGUUUCUAUUGGUACACAGAUGAACACUUCAACCCAUCAAAAGAAUACAAAUCUAAUCAAUAAGGGUCCAAGCAAAGUAGUUUUGUCCUCCCAUAGCAGGUCACAGACCUCAGAAGCUUCAGUACUCAAAAGGGACUCAAAAGCUGUUAACACCUCUGCAUCUUCCAUUAUUUUAAAACAGCCUGUUUCAACUUCUACUCUUAAAAAUGUGAAAGCUGCAGCACCUCGAACCUCUCCUAAAGUCAUGAACGUAAAUGCUCGUCAAACAUCGUCUGAUACUGGAAAAGUAGCAGUUUCUCAAAGUUCAUCGCAAACAGAUUUUAGUAAGCUACCAAGAGACACGCAACUUCUGAAAGGUAAAACUGCUUUAGCAAAUGUUUCAAACCUCAGUGCCACUAGUCUCCCAAACUUAACAAAAACGGUGCUAGAACCACAAAAAACAAUCAAAACAAGCACAGCAGUUGCACCGAAUCCAUCAAGCCUCUCAAGUCUUGAGGAAAGUCUUGUUUUAGAAAGGUCGCAUGUUCUAAGUGAACUGUCAGCUCUUUCUAAACUACUUUCUCAGGUCGACCAAUCAUUAGAGGCGCAAUCACAAACAGCGGGAGAGGUUUCAAGUCUUAUAGAUAAACUUUGUCUAGCUGCUGGUCGAUGGAAAGCGCAAAACGUGACAGUAACUAGUUUAGUGCAAAAGGUGGCUGAGCGUCAGAAAGAACUAUCCUCAAGACAUCGUCGUUGUGUUGCUUUAUCUAAAUCAUGCACUGAAUUAGGUUCAAAACAGAUUGGGAAAAGUUACAGGAGUCCUGGAGCUAAAGCUGAUGCAAUGCAUCUACAGCUGAAACAAGUCCAUGAAAAGACUCAAGAUCUUGCACGAAGGAAAACUGCUGAACGGUCGAGAAGGAAUGUUUUGGAGAAAAGAGCAGAAGAUUGCCUUAUAAAGCUUUUUUCAGACUCAAGUGCUGAGAAUUUGAAAUCAGCUAAUCAAGCUCCAGCUCCCUCACUCAAGGCUUCAGCGCAGGAGAAACUAAGGGUAGCUCCUGGGGCAAUCCAAGUGAAAAGUCCCGCAACAGGUUCAACAUCAGAUGCAUUAUCUUCUGUGCAUGGAAAGACUUCAUUGCAAGUAGACCCUGCCUUGAUUUCCAAAGCUAUAAGCAUGCGACUAGCUUCAAACAAAAUUAGAAGUGCCAAAGCAACACUUAAUUUGGCAAACAAACGCUUAAAUACAAGAAAAUCAAGGAAGUUCAAAAGUUCAAAUAAGCAAGCACCAAGUCUCGAUAUCAGGCAAUAUUCAUCUGACAUGGACAUAUCAACUGAUGGUGAGGAAGCAGAAAAGAAAAGCAAAAAUUGUAGUGGGAAUACAGAUGUUGUUGAUAUGCUUGUCAGCCCCGGUUCAAGUUUAAGUGCACCAGAAACAGACCCAGUGAACACACCCUCUGAGGGAAGUAGUGAAAAUGUUUGCCAAAAUGCUGCUUCCAGUAGAAACAUUGUUGGCUUUGAAUCAUACUAUGAUGACAUCCCAAUCGAUAUUAAUGCCACAAAUACUAGAGAUCCACCUUCAGUUGGCAAAGAAGCCAGUCAUAAAAAACAUGCAACUGGGAAUGAUAAAACCCUUGCUUCAUCAAGAAAUUUCCUGAAGGAUUAUGUUUCCCCUCUGAAUGGAUUAAAUGUUUUCAGCAGCGUCAGUUCAAAGGAGAAAUUCAAAGAAGAUGUCCUGGAUCCCUAUGCUAUUCUUUGUCCUUAUGAUCUCAAUGGGAAGUGUCAGGACACAGAUUGUCAGUACAUACACCAACAUCAAUAAAUAUACACCUGGCUGUGGUGAGAAGUACAGUUGUGAUGGUGAAUCUUACUGGAAGGUAACUUACCUUGGAAAGGCAAGGGUUCUGGAAUAUGAAUAGUAAUAUCAGAUUCCAUCAUUUUGAUUGUUGGAUCAUCUAGUCUCUGUUCCGGAUAAAAUUUGUCUUUUUCUUUAGAAGAGUAUCCUUUCACCACUGUUAGAUUAUUUUAUCAUUUGCAUUAGUCAACAAAAUAAUAUCCUUAUAUAGCGUCACCAUUCUGCUCCCGUUCAUUAAUAAGUGCCAAAUCUGGUAUUACAGCAUAGCCAUUUGUAAUUGUGGCUGUGAUUAUUUAGAAGGGUACCUGAUGGUUUUCUAUUUUAAGUAUUUUUUCAGUUGAUAUUUUCAUUAAGUUUUUGACAUGUUUUGACUCUGUAUAUAAUUGCUUUUGUUUUUGCCAAUUUUAGUUAGGAGAAAAAUUGGGUUUGUGUGAAUGGGAUUUUUGCCCUGUAGAUCUUGUCAUCAUAUUUUUAAUAUAGUGGAUGAAAUAUUUUUGCUGUUACCGUUUGGUACCGUUUGGUGUACUUAAGGCAUGAGAGCCCUCAUACUUAGAGUAGAUAUGUAUUUGCUUGAUUUUCGUUCUUCCUCUAGUCCAGUCCCUGAUUUAGACACAGGCACUGACAUCUGCAGAUCAACCCUUGUGGUGCAUUUUAUUCAAUGAACAUUUUCGCUUAGAAGAAAGAUUGGUACACUUCAAAAUAGAUGCACACAUUACCUCAAAUCUUGUUAGAUAAAGCAAUCCCUCUCCAUGCUCCCCAAUCUCCACUUGUUGUGUUUUUCUGAAUAAGAAUUUAUUUUCUAAAUCAAUUUUGAUUAUCUGUCUUCAUAUCCAAUGCAAAUUCUGCUUCAAUUAAGUAGCUAUCAUAUAUCAAUAAAACGCAUGUGAUAAUGUUAUUUUUUAUGUAAGUUUAAGUGAAAGGCUGUCAAACAAUCACUUCAUGACUCACUGUUUAUAUUGUAGCAAUACGUUUCGCAUUCUCAACUGUCAUAUUAAUGAGUAUUUUUUUAGCUGAGGCUUGUCAUAGCUGCCAGAUUGGAUGGCAGUUACUUUUCACUUCAUUGCGCCUUUUUUAGUGCCAUGUCAUUUAAUCCACCAGGAAACCUGUCAGCACUCACAAACACACCUGGUGUGACAAUUGCGGCGCUACACCUGGCAGAACACCAACCAGAAGAUGGAAGACUGACAAGCUCCAAAAAAGGACUGAAACCCAAGAAGAAACUGAAAUGAAGUACAAGCCCGUCCUCAGUGCAGUGAUUGAUGGAAGUCCUCAAGACACAAUUAAGUCAUGACAAGAAAGAAGAUUUCAGGGGAAUCUCUGCGGAGUUCUCCCAACAUGGAUGAAAAAAAAACAACAAUUGUUUGAUUUUCAGUGCAGUGCAACCAUUUAUCUGCCCCUAAAAAAUAGCACGAAGAAGUUAAAUAUUACUCUUCAAUCGCAUCUUCAAGGGUACGUAGCCCCUUCCUGAACCUUUGUGGCAUAACUUCCAAGUUUGAUCAGUGUGAAAGAGAGUAUCCUGUAUACUUCCAGAUUAUUUUACAAUAAAAGUCAAUGAAAUAACU